GGGAGGUCGGCGGCGGACGGACCGCUCGCCAACCCGGUCAGGUCCGGAAGGAAGCAGCCGUAACGAGUUUCGCCCGGGUCGUUGUCCGGCCUCCCACC
RNAcentral lists this signal recognition particle RNA (98 nucleotides) under Alphaproteobacteria bacterium. RNAcentral describes it as "signal recognition particle sRNA small type". It matches the Rfam family "Bacterial small signal recognition particle RNA". From Rfam's summary of the family: The signal recognition particle (SRP) is a universally conserved ribonucleoprotein involved in the co-translational targeting of proteins to membranes. Archaeal SRP consists of a 7S RNA and homologues of the eukaryotic SRP19 and SRP54 proteins. Lineage: Bacteria; Pseudomonadati; Pseudomonadota; Alphaproteobacteria. RNAcentral also lists the same sequence under 1 other name. The record is from RNAcentral.